CCUACGGGAGGCAGCAGCUAAGAAUAUUCCGCAAUGGACGAAAGUCUGACGGAGCGACGCCGCGUGGAUGAUGAAGGCCGAAAGGUUGUAAAAUCCUUUUGUCGGGGAAGAAUAAUCAUGGGAGGGAAUGCCCGUGAGAUGACGUUAACCGGCGAAUAAGCCCCGGCUAACUACGUGCCAGCAGCCGCGGUAACACGUAGGGGGCAAGCGUUGUUCGGAAUUACUGGGCGUAAAGGGCAUGUAGGCGGUUUUAUAAGCCUGACGUGAAAGGCUAUGGCUUAACCAUGGCACUGCGUUGGGAACUGUGAGACUUGAAUCACGGAGGGGGAGCUAGAAUUCCAGGUGUAGGGGUGAAAUCUGUAGAUAUCUGGAAGAACACCAGUGGCGAAGGCGAGCUCCUGGCCGAUGAUUGACGCUGAGGUGCGAAAGUGUGGGGAUCAAACAGGAUUAGAGACCCUGGUAGUCCACACUGUCAACGAUGUGCACUAGGUGCUGGGGCGGACGCUUCAGUGCCGGAGCUAACGCGGUAAGUGCACCGCCUGGGGAGUAUGCUCGCAAGGGUGAAACUCAAAUGAAUUGACGG
Molecule: ribosomal RNA, 583 nt
Filed under: uncultured bacterium
Lineage: Bacteria
Description: bacterial SSU rRNA
Rfam family: Bacterial small subunit ribosomal RNA
Source: RNAcentral